This 550-nucleotide ribosomal RNA is filed under the name uncultured bacterium. RNAcentral describes it as "bacterial SSU rRNA". It matches the Rfam family "Bacterial small subunit ribosomal RNA", at positions 355 to 896 of the family's 1533-position model. The record is from RNAcentral.
UAGGGAAUCUUCGGCAAUGGACGGAAGUCUGACCGAGCAACGCCGCGUGAGUGAAGAAGGUUUUCGGAUCGUAAAGCUCUGUUGUAAGAGAAGAACGAGUGUGAGAGUGGAAAGUUCACACUGUGACGGUAUCUUACCAGAAAGGGACGGCUAACUACGUGCCAGCAGCCGCGGUAAUACGUAGGUCCCGAGCGUUGUCCGGAUUUAUUGGGCGUAAAGCGAGCGCAGGCGGUUAGAUAAGUCUGAAGUUAAAGGCUGUGGCUUAACCAUAGUAGGCUUUGGAAACUGUUUAACUUGAGUGCAAGAGGGGAGAGUGGAAUUCCAUGUGUAGCGGUGAAAUGCGUAGAUAUAUGGAGGAACACCGGUGGCGAAAGCGGCUCUCUGGCUUGUAACUGACGCUGAGGCUCGAAAGCGUGGGGAGCAAACAGGAUUAGAUACCCUGGUAGUCCACGCUGUAAACGAUGAGUGCUAGGUGUUAGACCCUUUCCGGGGUUUAGUGCCGUAGCUAACGCAUUAAGCACUCCGCCUGGGGAGUGCGACCGCAAGGUUG